UAUGUCCAUAUCAUGUUGAAACCCUGGUUCCUGUAUGAUCACUGUAGUUAAGCAAAGCCAAGCCAGUUCAGUACCUUGAUGGGUGAAUGCUUGGGAAUACCAGGUGUUA
Acanthosepion pharaonis is the source of this 109-nucleotide non-coding RNA. Lineage: Eukaryota; Metazoa; Mollusca; Cephalopoda; Sepiida; Sepiidae. The record is from the annotation of a GenBank genome assembly.